GGGGAAUAUUGCGCAAUGGGGGAAACCCUGACGCAGCGACGCCGCGUGAAGGAAGAAGGUCUUCGGAUCGUAAACUUCUUUGACUGGGGAAGAGUAGAAGACGGUACCCAGGGAACAAGCCACGGCUAACUACGUGCCAGCAGCCGCGGUAAUACGUAGGUGGCGAGCGUUGUCCGGAAUUACUGGGUGUAAAGGGCGUGUAGGCGGGAGAGCAAGUCAGGUGUGAAAGCCCAAGGCUCAACGUUGGGACUGCAUCUGAAACUGUUUUUCUUGAGUACUGGAGAGGGAAGCGGAAUUCCUAGUGUAGCGGUGAAAUGCGUAGAGAUUAGGAGGAACACCAGUGGCGAAGGCGGCUUCCUGGACAGAGACUGACGCUGAGGCGCGAAAGCGUGGGGAGCGAAC
RNAcentral lists this ribosomal RNA (402 nucleotides) under uncultured bacterium. RNAcentral's name for it is "bacterial SSU rRNA". It matches the Rfam family "Bacterial small subunit ribosomal RNA", at positions 356 to 773 of the family's 1533-position model. The record is from RNAcentral.